AAAUCGCAAAGAAAAACACCAAU
This 23-nucleotide small nuclear RNA is filed under the name Arabidopsis thaliana (thale cress). RNAcentral's name for it is "snRNA_08787". The record is from RNAcentral. Lineage: Eukaryota; Viridiplantae; Streptophyta; Magnoliopsida; Brassicales; Brassicaceae.